UUGGCCCAACGGUAAGGCGUCUGACUACGAAUCAGAAGACG
Molecule: transfer RNA, 41 nt
Filed under: Fragilariopsis kerguelensis
Lineage: Eukaryota; Bacillariophyta; Bacillariophyceae; Bacillariales; Bacillariaceae
Description: partial tRNA
Source: RNAcentral